GUGAAGGGGACUAAAAAAUUUAUAGCAGACCCUCCCUCCCAGACCCUCCCACCUCCUGGACAGCAUCCAUUUUGAAGCUGCAUUCUUAGUGAGCUGUCCAGGAGGUGGGAGGGUCUGGGAGGGAGGGUCUGCUGCUGAUUGGAAUG
Non-coding RNA from Pelobates cultripes (western spadefoot toad), 146 nucleotides. Lineage: Eukaryota; Metazoa; Chordata; Amphibia; Anura; Pelobatidae. The record is from the annotation of a GenBank genome assembly.